This 477-nucleotide long non-coding RNA is filed under the name Homo sapiens (human). RNAcentral's name for it is "HSALNT0320215". Lineage: Eukaryota; Metazoa; Chordata; Mammalia; Primates; Hominidae. The record is from RNAcentral.
GAUGCAGCCUGUGACCCUCAGGGCUACAUUCAAGUUUGAGAAGGCAGCCAGAGGAGAGCAACAAGAAUUAGUUGAGAGGCCUGAGGAGUGAGGUCGAAGAGGCUACCUCUGCAGAAGGCGCUGGGGAGGAACCAGAUUGAUGGGCAGCCCUGGUGGUGGUGACAGCACUGGCAGGAGCCAGCUGUCCAGCAGGAGCCCCACCUGCCUCACUGCUGGGGCAAAGGGAAGCACUGACCCAUCCUGACAGCCACGCAGACUGAUGGACCAGCGCAUGGAAGAAAACCAAGGCGGACUCACAGAAUUAGUUUGAAAAAACCUGGGGGACCUGUAGUUCUCACAAAUUGAGUGAGGAAAGAACCUGAAAAUAUGUUUUAUUAUUGUCAUCGAGACCCCAGUUUCAACCCUAGACUAUUGUGGCCUGGGGAGAAAGUUUUCAAUUGAUUGUCCUCCCUGGAGCUUUUACGGUUGUGAAAGAAA